UACGUAGGGGGCGAGCGUUAUCCGGAAUUACUGGGUGUAAAGGGAGCGUAGACGGCGAGGUAAGCCUGAAGUGGAAGCCCGCGGCCCAACCGCGGAACUGCUUUGGGAACUGAUUUGCUGGAGUAUGGGAGGGGUAAGCGGAAUUCCUGGUGUAGCGGUGAAAUGCGUAGAUAUCAGGAGGAACACCGGUGGCGAAGGCGGCUUACUGGACCAUAACUGACGUUGAGGCUCGAAAGCGUGGGGAGCGAACAGG
This 253-nucleotide ribosomal RNA is filed under the name uncultured bacterium. Its description in RNAcentral is "partial 16S ribosomal RNA". It matches the Rfam family "Bacterial small subunit ribosomal RNA", at positions 524 to 776 of the family's 1533-position model. The record is from RNAcentral.